GACGAACGCUGGCGGCGUGCUUAACACAUGCAAGUCGAACGGAAAGGCCCUGCUUUUGUUGGGUGCUCGAGUGGCGAACGGGUGAGUAACACGUGAGUAACCUGCCCUUGACUUUGGGAUAACUUCAGGAAACUGGGGCUAAUACCGGAUAGGAGCUCCUGCUGCUUGGUGGGGGUUGGAAAGUUUCGGCGGUUGGGGAUGGACUCGCGGCUUAUCAGCUUGUUGGUGGGGUAGUGGCUUACCAAGGCGUUGACGGGUAGCCGGCCUGAGAGGGUGACCGGCCACAUUGGGACUGAGAUAGGGCCCAGACUCCUACGGGAGGCAGCAGUGGGGAAUAUUGCACAAUGGGCGGAAGCCGGAUGCAGCAACGCCGCGUGCGGGAUGACGGCCGUCGGGUUGGAAACCGCGUUCGCCUGUGAAGAAGAGUGAGUGACGGUAAUGGGUAAAGAAGCACCGGCUAACUACGUG
RNAcentral lists this ribosomal RNA (468 nucleotides) under uncultured bacterium. RNAcentral describes it as "partial 16S ribosomal RNA". It matches the Rfam family "Bacterial small subunit ribosomal RNA", at positions 28 to 507 of the family's 1533-position model. The record is from RNAcentral.